Molecule: long non-coding RNA, 680 nt
Organism: Sarcophilus harrisii (Tasmanian devil)
Lineage: Eukaryota; Metazoa; Chordata; Mammalia; Dasyuromorphia; Dasyuridae
Exons: 3
Source: RefSeq, a predicted model, not a curated record
GUCUGUGAUGUUUACUGACUGUGAAACUAUGAAUAAGUCACUUAAUUUCUCUAGGACAAGAGAGUAUGUUAUUAGAGGAAGAUCCCAAAGCUUCUGCCACCUGAGAGGAAGCGAAGACUGAAAGAAGAGCACUUGGAAAGGCAAAAUGAGGCCUUUGCUCUGAACAACCAUCAACAGACAGCUGGAUAUGGGAGUUCUCUCACUAGGGAGAAGAUCAGAAGCUUGAGUGAAGAUGUCAGUAAAGGCUUUUGAUGUAAAUCCAGCCAGAGGUCCCAGGCUAUGGCUAUGCGCUUCAGGAGCUCUACUCCAGAAAGGACAUCAGAGCACCAGAGAAUUUCAGAGAUGGAAGGGAACUUGGAAAGCUAAUUCCAUUUGUUCAGAGGGAUAAACUGAGACUCGGAUAAGUGAAGGCAUUUUCCCAAUGUUACAUAGCAAUGAGAUUGGAAUAAUCCAAAUCCAACAUUCACCAUACCCAGGUGAUUUUUCAAGAGGAAGAUCAUGCUUUAAAGUCGAUUGCCUUCCUGAUUAGUGGUCUGAUUUGCAACUCUAAAAAGAAACAGAGUAGGCAAUUAGUAGAUUCUUUUAUUCCCCUUUUCCUUCUUAUCCUCCUAAUCUGUUGAACACACCUUUGAAAAGCUUGUUGGAUGAGAACAUAAUAAAGGUCUUCAUCACAUAAUUGG